Molecule: ribosomal RNA, 642 nt
Filed under: uncultured Acidobacteriota bacterium
Lineage: Bacteria; Pseudomonadati; Acidobacteriota
Description: SSU rRNA
Rfam family: Bacterial small subunit ribosomal RNA
Source: RNAcentral
CAGCUUGUUGGCGGGGUAACGGCCCACCAAGGCUUUGAUCGGUAGCCGGACUGAGAGGUUGGCCGGCCACACUGGAACUGAGACACGGUCCAGACUCCUACGGGAGGCAGCAGUGGGGAAUCUUGCACAAUGGACGAAAGUCUGAUGCAGCAACGCCGCGUGGGGGAUGAAGCUUCUCGGAGUGUAAACCCCUUUCGACCCGGACGAAUGCCCGCAAGGGUUUGACGGUACGGGUAUAAGAAGCCCCGGCUAACUACGUGCCAGCAGCCGCGGUAAUACGUAGGGGGCCAGCGUUGCUCGGAAUUACUGGGCGUAAAGGGUCCGUAGGCGGUGCGGCAAGUCGAUAGUGAAAUCUCUGGGCUUAACCCAGAGGCUGCUAACGAAACUGCCGUGCUAGAGUGUGAGAGAGGCGAGUGGAAUUACGGGUGUAGCGGUGAAAUGCGUAGAUAUCCGUAGGAACAUCCGAGGCGAAAGCGGCUCGCUGGAUCACAACUGACGCUGAGGGACGAAAGCUAGGGGAGCAAACAGGAUUAGAUACCCUGGUAGUCCUAGCCCUAAACCAUCAGACUUGGGGUUUGCCCUGUACGGGGCAAGUCCCGUAGCUAACGCGUUAAGUCCUGCGCCUGGGGAGUACGGUCGCAA